UAGAAUUAAUUUACUAUAUUUAUGUUUAAUAAUUUAUAAAAUUUUAUAUAAAUCAUUUAAUUGUUAUUGUAUUUGUUAUGGAUUUAAUUAUUUAGGGUAAUGGUUAUAUAGUACUGUGAUGGAAUAAUAAAAGUUUAAAUAUUAUUAAUUUGUAAGUUGAAUUAAUUUUUUGUACCUUGUGUAUCAGGAUUAAUUAAUAAUAAUUUAUUUAUAUUAAUUUUCUCGAUUUCUUUAGAGUUAAUAAAUUAUAUUAAUUAUUGUUGAAGAAAUAUUAAUAAUAAUUUAUUGGAAAUGAAAUGUUAAUCGUUAAUGAGUAUAUCUAGUUUUUUGGGAAAUAAAUUUAAUUUAGAUUCUUUCUUUAGUAAUUUUCUUUAAAAUAGGUUUUGAGUUAGAAUUAAUAAUAAAUGGGAUAAGCUUUUUAUUAUAAAUUUAUAAAGGAAUUAAUAUUUAAAGUUAUGUGGAUUUAAUAAUUAUUAUUAUUUUAAGUUUGUUAAAAUAUUACUUUUUUAAGUAAUGAUUUUUUUUUCUUUUAAAGUUUUACUAAAAAUUUUUAAUUAAUUUUUUUUUGUUAAUUGAAAUUAUGAUUAAAUUAGUAUAAUUAUUUUGUAAAGUUUUUUGAGUGUAAAGUUAUAUUGAGGAACUAGGCAAUAUUAAUUAUUCGCCUGUUUAACAAAAACAUCUCUUCUUGUUUAUUUAAGAAGUAUGACCUGCCCAAUGAUAAAUUUAAUGGCCGCAGUAUAUUGACUGUGCAAAGGUAGCAUAAUCAUUAGUCUUUUAAUUGAAGGCUGGAAUGAAUGGUUAAACGAGAUAAUAACUAUCUUAAUUUUAUUUAUUUUGAAUUUAAUUUUUAAGUUAAAAAGCUUAAAUUAUUUUUUGGGACGAGAAGACCCUAUAGAGUUUAAUAUUUAUUUAUAUAUUUAUAAUGGUUUGUAAAUAAGUGAAUAUUUAUAAGUAUUUCGUUGGGGUGAUGGGAAAAUAAAAAUAACUCUUUUUAAUAUUUGAUUAUAAAUUUAUAUAUUAAUGAUCCAUUAUUAAUGAUUAAAAGACUAAAUUACCUUAGGGAUAACAGCGUUAUUUUUUUUGAGAGUUCAUAUCGACAAAAAAGAUUGCGACCUCGAUGUUGGAUUAGGAUUAUCUUUAGGUGAAGAAGCUUAAAAAUUAGGUCUGUUCGACCUUUAAAAUCUUACAUGAUCUGAGUUCAAACCGGCGUGAGCCAGGUUGGUUUCUAUCUAAUAGAAAUUAAAAUAUUUUAGUACGAAAGGACCAAAUAUUUGAAAUAAUUUUUAAUUUUUGAAUAUUAUUAA
RNAcentral lists this ribosomal RNA (1304 nucleotides) under Rhabdoblatta similsinuata. RNAcentral's name for it is "16S ribosomal RNA". The stretch from base 874 to 1233 matches the Rfam family "Archaeal large subunit ribosomal RNA", at positions 2152 to 2714 of the family's 2987-position model. Lineage: Eukaryota; Metazoa; Arthropoda; Insecta; Blattodea; Blaberidae. The record is from RNAcentral.